This is a non-coding RNA of Sturnus vulgaris (Common starling), 714 nucleotides long. NCBI's taxonomy places the organism in Eukaryota, Metazoa, Chordata, Aves, Passeriformes, Sturnidae. The record is from RefSeq and is a predicted model, not a curated record.
ACCUAAUUUUGGAAUGAAGCUGCACUAGCGUGUGCCACCUGAGGAUACUGUGGUGUGGUAGUAAUGCCAUUCCACGGACUUCUGUGGCUCACUGACUUCAGGGCUGACUUUAAGGGGUUAUGCCCCCUUAGCACACUGAUGAACUGAAGAUCUGAUAUCUCCUCUCUGUCUUGUGGACAUCAGGGCGCUGCAGCCUUCCUAAUAACUAGCCAUGUCUCAAUGGCUCAUCCUGAGCAUUCCUUCUCCAGACCUGCCUGUGGAUUUUUUUAACCAUCUCUCAACUUGCCAGACCAAUUUCUUCAGUAAGUGUCUGCUGACAUUGGCAGAUGUUCUCUUAAGCGCUGGGACAUUGGACAUUCUCUUGGGACAUUGACUUAGAUAUGAGCAUGGUGUCAUGGUGAGAGGUGAAGAAAGGAGAAGACAGCAGAGGUGAAGCUGGACUGUCGUUCAUAGGGACAGAUCAUAGGAACUUAAUUUACAAUGAAAAGCUGAUUUGGGGAUGACCCAUGUGUGAAGACAGAUAAUCAAAAUACUACCCAGCAUGGAAAUGAUCUGUCACCCUAAGGAUGAGUCUCUUGUAGCACCUCCUGCCUGUGGCAAGCUGAGGAGGAGGAAGGAUACACUGGUGUUAAAGGUGACACAGAGAAGUUCAUAUUGCCUCCUACCACUACCUAUUUACCAUUCUCUGAAUCAACAUUCCCCUUCCUUGGCUCC